GGAUGUGAGGACAAUCUGGCUGCAACAUCUGUCACCCCAUUGAUCGCCAGGGUUGAUUUGGCUGAUCUAGCUGGCUAGACUGGUGUCCCCUUCCUCCCUCACCACUCCAUGUGCGUCCCUCCUGAAGCUACAAGUUUGGUCGAAGAGGACAACCUUCCCCACAAGAGGAGGACCGAUCUUCUGUCAAGGGUAUAUGAGUAGCUGCGCUCCUAUGCUAGAACCUCCAAACAAGCUCUCAAGAGCAACACCUUAUAUUUAUAUAGUUCAUAUUAAAAUGUCAUUCUUCACACAUUUCAUCUGAGUCUCAAAAACUCUUGAU
This 319-nucleotide small nuclear RNA is filed under the name Microcebus murinus (gray mouse lemur). Its description in RNAcentral is "7SK RNA (ENSMICG00000035465.2)". It matches the Rfam family "7SK RNA". From Rfam's summary of the family: 7SK was discovered as an abundant small nuclear RNA in the mid-70s but a possible function has only recently been suggested. Two independent studies have found that 7SK RNA binds the CDK9/cyclin T complex (known as elongation factor P-TEFb). P-TEFb activates transcription by phosphorylating the C-terminal domain of RNA polymerase II. The record is from Rfam by way of RNAcentral. Lineage: Eukaryota; Metazoa; Chordata; Mammalia; Primates; Cheirogaleidae.